UUCGUUCUAAUCAUUGCCAUCU
Molecule: microRNA, 22 nt
Filed under: Blattella germanica (German cockroach)
Lineage: Eukaryota; Metazoa; Arthropoda; Insecta; Blattodea; Blattellidae
Description: Bge-Novel-4_3p (mature (guide))
Source: RNAcentral